GGAGAGCACCACCACCAGCCAUCCAGUCAGAAGCCAAACGUCCUCGUGUCUAACAGCUUCCACAGCGAUCUCACCAGCGGUAUAAUCUGGUCGACAAGAUGAGGACGGUUCCUAAGGCCUUAGCGCUCCUGACAGCGAUAGUGGUCGUUACUGUGGUUUUCUUCAACCGUCCAGUUGUGCGAGACGACCACAGGAAUAGAAAAGACAACUAUUCUGCUCUCCAGAAACAAAUGGAGGAGCUUCAGGUGGGUCACCAGAGGGCGACUGUGCUGCUCAACAAGCUGCUGUGUCAGGCAAACCAGGUGCUGCCAUCAGGCGGUUUCUGUCUUCAUAACAACAAAUUAGUUGUUGGUGGUAACCACUUGUGGAGU
This is a non-coding RNA of Procambarus clarkii (red swamp crayfish), 371 nucleotides long. NCBI's taxonomy places the organism in Eukaryota, Metazoa, Arthropoda, Malacostraca, Decapoda, Cambaridae. The record is from RefSeq and is a predicted model, not a curated record.